Molecule: long non-coding RNA, 141 nt
Organism: Empidonax traillii (willow flycatcher)
Lineage: Eukaryota; Metazoa; Chordata; Aves; Passeriformes; Tyrannidae
Exons: 3
Source: RefSeq, a predicted model, not a curated record
CCAGGGAUACCCCAUCCCAGGUGCAGAAUCCAACACUUCCCCUUGUUGAACUUCCUAUGGUUGGUGAUUGCCCAGUCCUCUCAUUUGUGGAGGUCUCUCUGAAGGGCCUCUCUGCCUUCAGGGGAAGAGCACACUUCUGAA